Molecule: long non-coding RNA, 599 nt
Organism: Ananas comosus (pineapple)
Lineage: Eukaryota; Viridiplantae; Streptophyta; Magnoliopsida; Poales; Bromeliaceae
Exons: 5
Source: RefSeq, a predicted model, not a curated record
AGAAACAGGGUUUGAACCCUUUUCUCUCUUUCUCUCUCUAGGAUUUCCUAUGUUGAAGUAAGGUUGGUGAAUUGGAGCCUAUUUCUUCCUCUCUUUUGUGCUUGCUGGUUUGGGAGACUUGGAGCAGCUGGGGGAGGGUGGAAAUGGAGUCUUGGGAGAGGUGUUUCGCAGCCCAAACUCAGUAGGAAGCUGAGUUGAAGCUUUGUGAGUUGAUUUGGAGAAGGAUUUUAGCAGCUAUAAAGAGGUGUUUUGUUGUACCCUAACUCAGUGGGAGUUGAGUUAGUAAUCUGAGAAGCAGGUUCGCAGCAGACUAUUUGAUCUUGUUUGGUUGAGUUUUGAGAGCUUUCUAAGGUUGGAUUUGGUGUUCCAACCUGAAUCGAAGAUUGGGAUUCAAGCCUUAGCACUAUACUAGGAAUGGUUGUUAGGAGUGUUUGGAGGCUUCGAAUCACCUUGAGCUGAGUUUUGGUGAUAUUUUAAGGCUGGUUUUGGAGUGCUUCAACCUGAUUUGAAGUAAGGUUCAAGUGUGAAUUCUAAACUAGGUACUUGGAAGCUAAGGAAUAUCUUCGCUCGUUGGAUCGACGAGAGUUGACAGCAAUUUG